UACGUAGGGUGCAAGCGUUAAUCGGAAUUACUGGGCGUAAAGCGUGCGCAGGCGGUUGUGCCAGAACGAUGUGAAAUCCCCGGGCUUAACCUGGGAACUGCAUUGGUGACUGCACGGCUAGAGUGUGUCAGAGGGGGGUAGAAUUCCACGUGUAGCAGUGAAAUGCGUAGAUAUGUGGAGGAAUACCGAUGGCGAAGGCAGCCCCCUGGGAUAACACUGACGCUCAUGCACGAAAGCGUGGGGAGCAAACAGG
Molecule: ribosomal RNA, 253 nt
Filed under: uncultured bacterium
Lineage: Bacteria
Description: partial 16S ribosomal RNA
Rfam family: Bacterial small subunit ribosomal RNA
Source: RNAcentral